Molecule: ribosomal RNA, 568 nt
Filed under: uncultured bacterium
Lineage: Bacteria
Description: bacterial SSU rRNA
Rfam family: Bacterial small subunit ribosomal RNA
Source: RNAcentral
CCUACGGGAGGCAGCAGUGGGGAAUAUUGCACAAUGGGCGAAAGCCUGAUGCAGCGACGCCGCGUGAGGGAUGACGGCCUUCGGGUUGUAAACCUCUUUCAGCAGGGAAGAAGCGAGAGUGACGGUACCUGCAGAAGAAGCGCCGGCUAACUACGUGCCAGCAGCCGCGGUAAUACGUAGGGCGCAAGCGUUGUCCGGAAUUAUUGGGCGUAAAGAGCUCGUAGGCGGCUUGUCACGUCGGGUGUGAAAGCCCGGGGCUUAACCCCGGGUCUGCAUUCGAUACGGGCUAGCUAGAGUGUGGUAGGGGAGAUCGGAAUCCCUGGUGUAGCGGUGAAAUGCGCAGAUAUCAGGAGGAACACCGGUGGCGAAGGCGGAUCUCUGGGCCAUUACUGACGCUGAGGAGCGAAAGCGUGGGGAGCGAACAGGAUUAGAUACCCUGGUAGUCCACGCCGUAAACGGUGGGAACUAGGUGUUGGCGACAUUCCACGUCGUCGGUGCCGCAGCUAACGCAUUAAGUUCCCCGCCUGGGGAGUACGGCCGCAAGGCUAAAACUCAAAGGAAUUGACGG